This 267-nucleotide ribosomal RNA is filed under the name uncultured bacterium. RNAcentral's name for it is "partial 16S ribosomal RNA". It matches the Rfam family "Bacterial small subunit ribosomal RNA", at positions 77 to 339 of the family's 1533-position model. The record is from RNAcentral.
UACACCGAAAGAAAAUGAGUGGCGAACGGGUGAGUAACACGUGGGUAACCUGCCCAUCAGCGGGGGAUAACACUUGGAAACAGGUGCUAAUACCGCAUAAUUCCAUUUACCGCAUGGUAGAUAGAUGAAAGGCGCUUUUGCGUCACUGAUGGAUGGACCCGCGGUGCAUUAGCUAGUUGGUGGGGUAACGGCCUACCAAGGCUGCGAUGCAUAGCCGACCUGAGAGGGUGAUCGGCCACACUGGGACUGAGACACGGCCCAGACUCC